UGCGUAGGCGGGUUUCUAAGCCAGAGGUGAAAGCCUGGAGCUCAACUCCAGAACUGCCUUUGAUACUGGAAGUCUUGAGUAUGGCAGAGGUGAGUGGAACUGCGAGUGUAGAGGUGAAAUUCGUAGAUAUUCGCAAGAACACCAGUGGCGAAGGCGGCUCACUGGGCCAUUACUGACGCUGAGGCGCGAAGCGUGGGAGCAAACA
This 205-nucleotide ribosomal RNA is filed under the name uncultured bacterium. RNAcentral's name for it is "partial 16S ribosomal RNA". It matches the Rfam family "Bacterial small subunit ribosomal RNA", at positions 568 to 774 of the family's 1533-position model. The record is from RNAcentral.